Molecule: long non-coding RNA, 310 nt
Filed under: Setaria viridis
Lineage: Eukaryota; Viridiplantae; Streptophyta; Magnoliopsida; Poales; Poaceae
Description: long non-coding RNA (SVIR_LNC007226)
Source: RNAcentral
UAUAACUAUGAUCUUUGUAUGGUAUUUUGUUACUUGUUUGAUAAAGCGUAACCAUGAUAAAAAUAUUUGGCAAAGAAAAAAAAAGUGCAAUCUCUGCAAUUUUAUAUCACGAACACUUGCAACCAGAAGCAUGAGGCCUUGGUCUAUGAACGUAGUCCAGCCAUAGUUAGCUUGAACCUUAGCCUCUUUCUCUUCACCAUCCCGUCACUCUCAGCCUCUCAUCAUCCAACUCCAGAAGCUCCCAUCUCUCCUGCCUGAACCAAAGGUUCAUUGCAACCUGAGAACCUGGUAGAGAACUCACUUUCCAUGC